RNAcentral lists this transfer RNA (77 nucleotides) under Cellulomonas sp. Its description in RNAcentral is "tRNA-Thr". It matches the Rfam family "tRNA". Rfam says of the family: Transfer RNA (tRNA) molecules are approximately 80 nucleotides in length. Their secondary structure includes four short double-helical elements and three loops (D, anti-codon, and T loops). RNAcentral also lists the same sequence under 12 other names. Lineage: Bacteria; Bacillati; Actinomycetota; Actinomycetes; Micrococcales; Cellulomonadaceae. The record is from RNAcentral.
GCCUCCUUAGCUCAGUUGGCCAGAGCACCUGUCUUGUAAACAGGGGGUCACCGGUUCGAAUCCGGUAGGGGGCUCCA